UAGGGAAUAUUGGACAAUGGGCGGAAGCCUGAUCCAGCCAUGCCGCGUGGAGGAUUAAGGCCCUCUGGGUUGUAAACUCCUUUUAUCUGGGAAGAACCAUUCCGACUUGUCGGAACAUGACGGUACCAGAGGAAUAAGCACCGGCUAACUCCGUGCCAGCAGCCGCGGUAAUACGGAGGGUGCAAGCGUUAUCCGGAUUUACUGGGUUUAAAGGGUGCGUAGGCGGACUUAUAAGUCAGUGGUGAAAGCU
RNAcentral lists this ribosomal RNA (250 nucleotides) under uncultured bacterium. RNAcentral's name for it is "partial 16S ribosomal RNA". It matches the Rfam family "Bacterial small subunit ribosomal RNA", at positions 355 to 602 of the family's 1533-position model. The record is from RNAcentral.